CCUACGGGGGGCUGCAGUGAGGAAUAUUGGUCAAUGGACGCAAGUCUGAACCAGCCAUGCCGCGUGAAGGAUGAAGGCGUUAUGCGUUGUAAACUUCUUUUAUCAGGGAAGAAACCUCAGAUUUCUAUUUGAGCCGACGGUACCUGAGGAAUAAGCACCGGCUAACUCCGUGCCAGCAGCCGCGGUAAUACGGAGGGUGCAAGCGUUAUCCGGAUUCACUGGGUUUAAAGGGUGUGUAGGCGGGUAUUUAAGUCAGUGGUGAAAUCUCCAGGCUC
Molecule: ribosomal RNA, 275 nt
Filed under: uncultured bacterium
Lineage: Bacteria
Description: partial 16S ribosomal RNA
Rfam family: Bacterial small subunit ribosomal RNA
Source: RNAcentral